AAUNUUUUUUGUUGGUAGGACAGUUUGGUUGGGGCGACAACCUUUGAAUAAGAAACGAAGGCGAGCUUAUGGUGUACAAGCAAUCUCCUUAGCCUGACAGUGAGGGGGACACCCCUAGCUGGCACAAGGACUACGUCCCAUGUGGGCGAUAAUGACCCGAUAUGUUUGUCCAAAAUAAAUAUCGAAAGC
RNAcentral lists this ribosomal RNA (189 nucleotides) under cf. Thesea sp. AR250. RNAcentral's name for it is "partial 16S ribosomal RNA". The record is from RNAcentral. Lineage: Eukaryota; Metazoa; Cnidaria; Anthozoa; Malacalcyonacea; Plexauridae.